Molecule: ribosomal RNA, 253 nt
Filed under: uncultured bacterium
Lineage: Bacteria
Description: partial 16S ribosomal RNA
Rfam family: Bacterial small subunit ribosomal RNA
Source: RNAcentral
UACGAAGGGGGCUAGCGUUGUUCGGAAUCACUGGGCGUAAAGCGCACGUAGGCGGCUUUUUAAGUCAGGGGUGAAAUCCUGGAGCUCAACUCCAGAACUGCCUUUGAUACUGAGAAGCUUGAGUCCGGGAGAGGUGAGUGGAACUGCGAGUGUAGAGGUGAAAUUCGUAGAUAUUCGCAAGAACACCAGUGGCGAAGGCGGCUCACUGGCCCGGUACUGACGCUGAGGUGCGAAAGCGUGGGGAGCGAACAGG